This 6073-nucleotide long non-coding RNA is filed under the name Podarcis lilfordi (Lilford's wall lizard). Lineage: Eukaryota; Metazoa; Chordata; Lepidosauria; Squamata; Lacertidae. The record is from RNAcentral.
UUAUUGGGUUUUACAAUAAGAAUAAACAUAAUAAACAAUAUAACAUUUGUCUUAACAUAGUUUCACAUUUUCUUUGGACUUCCUCACAUCCCCCGCUCCCACUUUCAUCGUUAUAACAUUUUGUCAGCAAUUUAUCAUCUUAUUUAAAUUCUUAUAUCUCUUCAAUGUUUCAUAAUCUUAUAGUUCUCAUAAAGAGUUAAACUUUCACAGUCUUACUUAUUUUCUUAAAAACUUCUAAGUUAAGUGGUGCUCAGUUAUUUAGUCUAGCAUCUUAUUUAGCAUUCACUCAAAUCACAAUAUUUUUGUAGAUAGUUCUUAAAUUUCUUCCAAUCCUCCUCGAUUCUCUCUUCUCCCAGGUCACGGAUUCUGCCGGUCAUUUCAGCCAGUUCCAUGUAGUCUAUCAGUUGCAUCUGCCAUUCUUCCAGUGUGGGUAAAUCUUGAGUUUUCCAAUGUUUUGCAAGAAGUAUCCUUGCUGCUGUUGUUGCAUACAUAAAAAAUGUCUGGUCCUUCUUUGCCACCCCUUGGCUGACAAUACCCAGAAGGAAAGCCUCUGGUUUCUUGGUAAAGGUAUAUUUAAAUACCUUUUUCAAUUCAUUAUAAAUCAUUUCCCAGAACGCCUUCACUUUAGGGCAGGUCCACCAGAGGUGGAAGAACGUUCCCUCACACUCUUUACAUUUCCAACACUUAUUAUCAGACAGGUGGUAAAUUUUUGCAAGUUUAACUGGGGUCAUAUACCAUCUAUAAAUCAUUUUCAUUACAUUUUCUUUCAGAGCGUUACAUGCAGUAAAUUUCAAUCCAUUACUCCACAACUUUUCCCAGUCCUCAAACAUAAUAUUAUACCCAAUGUCCUGUGCCCACCUUAUCAUAGCCGAUUUAACCAUUUCAUCUUGUGUAUUCCAUUCCAACAGCAAGUUAUACAUCCUUGAAAGUACCUUAGUCUUUGGUUCUAACAAUUCUGUUUCUAAUUUCGAUUUCUCCACCUGGAACCCUAGUUUCUUAUCAUUUUUAAAAACUUCUUUAAUCUGAGCGUAAUGUAACCAAUCUCGCACUUUGUCUUUCAUUUUCUCCAAACUCUGCAAUUUCCAAUUGUCUCCAUCUUUUCUAGUAUUUCCCAAUAUUUUGGCCAUUUAGCCUCCAUAUUGGGUCUUUUUCGGGCCUUAGCUUCCAAAGGUGAAAGCCACCUUGGUGUUUUAUUUUCCAGCAAGUCUUUAUAUUUUGUCCAGACAUUAAACAAUGAUUUUCUGACAAUAUGGUUCUUGAAGGCCUUAUUUGCUUUAACUUUGUCAUACCAUAAAUAUGCAUGCCAUCCAAAAACAUUAUUAAACCCUUCCAAAUCCAACACAUCAGUGUCUUCAAGAAGUAGCCAGUCUUUUAGCCAGCAGAACGCUGCGGCUUCAUAAUACAACUUUAAGUCCGGCAGGGCAAAGCCCCUCUUUGUUUUGCAUCAGUUAAUAUCUUAAACUUGAUUCUGGGCUUUUUGCCCUGCCAGACAAACUUCGAAAUAUCUCUCUGCCACUUCUGAAAGCACUCCGUUUUGUCCAAAACCUGAAGUGUUUGAAAUAAAAACAACAUCCUUGGCAAUACAUUCAUCUUAAUAGCAGCAAUUCGGCCUAACAAAGAAAGUUUCAAUUUUGACCAACUGUCUAAGUCUCUCUUAAUUUCUGUCCAACAUUUUUCAUAGUUAUCCUUAAAUAGACUUAGAUUUUUGCUGUUAUGUUUACCCCUAGGUAUUUUACUUUUUAACCACAUUAAGUUCCGUCUCAUUCUGAAACCGUUCUGACUCUGUAUCAGUCAAAUUUUUCCCCAAAACCUUAGUUUUCUGUUUAUUUAAUUUAAAUCCCGCCACCCGACCAAAAUCAUUAAUCAAUUGUAAUACUCUUUUCGUACUGGGCUCUGGCUUCUGCAGGGUCAAAACCAGGUCAUCUGCAAAAGCUUUUAGUUUAUAUUGUUUCUGACCAACCUGAAUUCCUUCCACCAACCGAUCCCCUCUAAUCAUGUUCAGUAGCACUUCCAGAACCGAAAUAAAUAACAAAGGGGAGAUAGGGCAACCUUGUCGUGUCCCUUUUUCAAUUUUGAACUCUUCUGUGACCACAUUAUUAACUAUCAGUUUAGCUUUCUGUUCUGAAUAUAUCGCCUCAAUCCCAUUCUCAAAACCCCGUCCCACUCCCAUCUCUUUUAAAUUUCCCAUCAUAAAUUUCCAGGAAAUAUUGUCAAAGGCCUUCUCCGCAUCUAUGAAAAUUAAAACUGCUUUUGUAUUUAUAUCUGUUUGCAGAAGUUCCAAGAUGUCAAUAAUGUUCCUUGUGUUAGCAAACAGAUGUCUACCUGGGAGAAAACCGGCCUGGUCCUUAUGAAUUACUUCAUUUAAUACUUUUUAAAUCUACUUGCCAAAAUAUCUGCAAAUAUUUUGUAAUCCACAUUUAAAAGAGAGAUGGGACGGUAGUUCUUCAGUUGUGUCUUUUCAGCUUCUGACUUUGGUAUUAAUGUGAUGAACGCUUCCUUCCACGAAUCCGGUGCCCUCUUCCCCUCCAUAAUUUCAUUGCUGACCUCCAUCAAGGGUUGUAUCAAAUAGUCUUUUAAUGUCUUAUAAUACUUGGAGGUCAGCCCAUCUGGCCCUGGAGAUUUGCCAAGUUGCAUGUUCUGAAUAGCUUGUUCAAUCUCCUGUCGUGUUAUUUUAGAGUUCAGGAUUGUCCUGUUUUCUUGUGACAAUUUAGAUAAUCCAUUUUUGCCAAAAAUUGUUUAAUCUCAACUUCGUCUUGCGGCCCUUGGGUGUAUAAUUUUUUAAAAUAUCUCUGGAAACACUUUCUAAUAUCCACUGGAUUCUGAAUGUUUUUUCCAUCAACCUCUAAGUUUGUAACCGUGUUUAAUCUUUGUCUUCUCUUCAACUGCCAAGCUAGCAGUUUUCCACAUUUAUUCGCCGACUCAAACGUUUUUGUUUCAUUAAUUUAACCUUCCAUUCAAUUUCCUGAUUUAUCAAUUUAGAAUAUUGUGUUUGAUAGAGUUUAAUUUCUCUCAGAGUUGGCUGUGACUUUGGAUUCGCUCUUAAUUUCUUCUCUAAUUCUUUUAAUUUGUCCAAGAUCUUAUCUUUUUCUCAUUUUGUGUUCUUUUCUUUACUACAUUCUGUUGUAUCAAGAAUCCCCUCAUUACAGCUUUGCUUGCGUCCCAGACAAUUCUUUUUCCACCGAAUUGUUCAUGUUUAUCUCAAAAUAGUCCUUCAAAACUUUUUGGGCCUUCUUGGUAAUUUCCUGAUCUCUAAACAAAUUGUCAUUCAUCUUCCAUCUAAAGGAUCCAGUUGGUAGUAGUGUCAUAUCCAUCUUUACUGCAUUAUGGUCAGAGCAGGUCUUUGGGCAGAUUUCCACUUUUCUGACCUUAGGUGCCAGGCCUCUGGAAAUCCAUAUUUGGUCGAUUCUUGUCCAGGUCAGUUGGGCUUCAGAAAAGAAUGUUCCUUCUCUACCUAGUGGGUUCUUUGUCCUCCAAAUGUCAAUCAAAUCCAUAUUGUCAGUCAUUUCAAAAAAAGUUGUAGGUAGUCUGCCGUCUUUUGUAACAUUUUGACUUUGUGACUUGUCCAUGUUAGUUGACACGACCCCGUUCAUGUCUCCCAUCAUUAUGAUGUUGUUGUAAUCCAGAUAUUCCAGCAUUGUCCCCUGCAGCUUCUUGUAAAAUUCCGAUUUCCCUUCAUUAGGUGCAUAGAUUCCUAAUAUCAACAGUUUCUCUCCUUGAUAUUGUAUCUCAAUGGCCAAAAUUCUUCCAUGUUCAUCUUUAAAUAAGAAUUUAGGUGACAGGCUCUCUUUUGCAUAUAUCACCACGCCUCUCUUCUUAACUUUGUCCGACGAAACAAAUUCCUGGCCCAAUCUUUUAUUUAUUAACACUUUUCUGUGGAGCCUCGUCACAUGUGUUUCUUGUAAACAGAUAAUGUCCAAUUGUUCUUUAUUAAUAUAUGAAAUAUUUUCUUCCUUUUUUCCGGAAUGUUACAACCAUUAAUGUUCCAACUCAGCAAUUGCAGAGACAUCCUGGAUCUAUCUGGUUAUUUCUCCAGGGGUGGUGUCUUCUCUGGAUCUUCAGGUUCCCCAGGUGCUGGUGUUAAUGCUGGCUUUGCCCCAGGCCCAGAAGGUAAUUCAAUUCCUUUUUGAAGGUCCUCUCCGUAUGUAGCCAAAAAUUUGUCUCUCUCUUCCAAUGUUCUAACUUUGACCUUUCUCCCUUUAAAGGUAAAAGAUAUUCCUUGGGGAAAUUCCCACCUGAAUGGAAUUGCGUUGCUCCUUAGUAGUUUAGCAAGUUCAGAAUAGGCGGCUCUAAGAUCCAGCAGUUGUCUUGGAAUAUCUUUAUAAAUUUCAAUUCUUCUGUCCAAAACCUCCAGUGACUUUCCGUAAUGUAGGCCCAAAAUCUUAUCCCUUUCCUCCUUUGAUCUCAAUGUAAUCAAACAGUCUCUGGGCCUCUCCUUCUUUGUGAAUCUUCCAAGUCUGAAAGCCGACACAAUUUUAAAAUCCUUUUCUUCCAAAUUCCAGAACUUGGAAAAUUCUUUGGUCAAAAACUCAGUUAAAUUUCCUUCUUCUGCCUCUUGUAAUGAUCUAAUCCUCAAAUUAUUCUCACGAUUUCGCAGUUCUAUCAUGGAAAGAUAAGUCUGAUGUUCCCCAACUUGUUUGGUGAGUGGUCUUACCUCUUGCUCUAAAUUUUCCAAUUUUUGUCUAGUAUCCUCAGCCAAUUUCCGAUUUUCUGCUGAGGCCUCCGUUAACUGUCCAAUUGCUUGUGUAUUCUGUACAACUUGUAUGGUUAAUUUAUUUAGACAUUCUGUAUUUUUGUCAAUCUUUGCUGAUUGCGCAUCUACUUUCUUGUCCAAAGCUUCCAAUUUUUCAAAGAUUUUGUCUAGAACAGAAACAGAUACUCCUGAGGCCAUAUCUUCCAAUUGUAACUGCUCUGCUUCACCCUCUCCCUCUUUUGCCUGUGGCAAGGCAACUUCUUCAAGUUCUACUUCUGAGGGCAAAGUAGGUACAGAUGAUCUACGUGUCUGCGAGGCUGAGGUUAGAGUUGUUAAAGUUGUUUGUCUAACUCUCCCUCUUUUCCUUGUGCCACUCAUUCCAACGUUGUCUAUCAGUCAAGGUCACACUGAGUUUUUCCCAUGGGAAUAGAAAGGCCCAGAGCAAGCAAACAACAAGGGAAUCGAAAGUAAAUGUAAAUGUAAAGUCACUGUUUUAAUCCAAUCCUCUAGAGGGAGCUUAAAAUGUCUUUCAGAGUCUAAUUUAAUGUCCAAGAACCUUCAAAUAUAAAUAUUUAGCAGAGUUUAUAAGUAGUCACUUUGUUACAGACAGUGCUUAUUUAUCUCCAAAAAGAAUGUUUCAAAUUUAAAAAGUCUCAAUACCCUCAGAUUGUUGCAAGUUCCAAUAUACAGUAUCCAAAUCUGCAAUACUGACAGCUCAAUUUCUCAAUGCUCAGGCAGCUCCUGACUCUGGGUUUCACCUUCUAAUUUGUAAUCCAAUAAAAGGGGGAAAGUCAAGUGCAAGUUAAAAUUCCAAGUCUUUAGCUUAAAGUCUUUACUUUAAAUUGCAAGUUCAGUAGAUGCUUAGAUCUGUAAAGUUUAAAAUCUCUUCCUUUCAGCCUCCACUCCUCCAACUUAGUUGCUUUUUUCAAGUUCAAUGGCUGCGGAAGACGGACUUCCUGUUUCCACGUCUCUCCGCUUUCAGCCAAGUUCAAGCCAAUUUAAGGUUUUUCAUUUAAAGUCUCUAAUUUCAAGUGAUUCAGUCUUUACUCACGAGUAAGUUGCUUUUCGUCCGAAUCCGUAUUUUAACAGGAAAAAGGAUCAGCGCUCACCGGCAGCAGCAGCGCGGCUUCACUCCGCAGACUGUGAAGCAGCUCUCAGCGCCGCAACCCCCCUCCACGCUCCGGAGCCCCUUACGAGGUUCCUUUCACGUUUGGAGGGUCACUUAAGGCGCCCACCGAGCCUCAAGACCCCAAGCUCUUGCUGCCUGGGGUUUUCCGGAGUGGGUCUCCGCUUCGCCGUAGCGGACGACCCGUUGUCUGCGGAGCCUCCUCUCCCGUUCAGAAGAGGACCGCCAUUGCCGUUCGCGCCGCCCCUCGGAAGUCU